AUGCUAGACAAUACAAUAAACAAAGUAGCAGAAGUUCUUUCUACAGAGGAAAUGGAAGAAUGGCAGCCUAAAAAGUUCAGUACAAUGGACAAGACUUGAGCAGGAAGAUGUUGCAUAGAGGAAUUCGAUAGCAUGCAGGAACAUAUUGAGCAAGAAAACUUUGUGCAAGAGGAUAUUUCGUAUAGGGAGGAAUUAAAUAGUCUGGUGAAAGUU
Molecule: long non-coding RNA, 213 nt
Filed under: Stylophora pistillata
Lineage: Eukaryota; Metazoa; Cnidaria; Anthozoa; Scleractinia; Pocilloporidae
Description: uncharacterized LOC111347031, transcript variant X2
Source: RNAcentral